RNAcentral lists this long non-coding RNA (1114 nucleotides) under Gouania willdenowi (blunt-snouted clingfish). RNAcentral's name for it is "lncRNA (ENSGWIG00000002998.1)". Lineage: Eukaryota; Metazoa; Chordata; Actinopteri; Blenniiformes; Gobiesocidae. The record is from RNAcentral.
AGAAGCUGCUGCAGAGUAUGAAGCUACAAGGGCUGUGCUGCAGAUAAUGACUGAACAAGAGAGACAUAGAGAAAAAGUGCAAAUGCUCGAAGAAGAAGACAAACGCAUAACUGCAGAACAAGAAGCAGCCGCAGUGUCACAACGCCUCCUAGAGGAGAAAGAGGAAACUGAGCGCAAGUUUAAAAGAGAAAAGGAGAAAGUGGCUAUGAUAAAGAGACAACAAGAGGAAAAUGCUGCAAGGAGAAAGUCACUUGAGAACUUGAAAAGAGAAAUUGAAAGACUGGAAAAUCUCAAAAGAUUCAAUGCAGCGAAGGCAAAACUAGAAGUUUAUGAUGAAGACUACUUUGCAGUAAAGCAAGAAAGUUUCACUCUAAAUCCUGCAAAUGUACAGAUAUCAGAGCUCAAGAACAUUGCUCAUAUGCCCUUACAAUCACCAAGAGAGUCAAACAUCACUCAUGAGAGUACAGGUGAGCUUAUAAAGGUUUUGGCAGAAGCUAUGUCAGCUAAUAGACUACCUAUUCCAGAACCCUCAGUAUUUAGUGGGGAUCCACUUAAGUUUAAGCAUUGGAAGGCAUCCUUUCAAACUCUCAUAGAGAGAAAGAACAUUCCCACUGCAGAAAAGAUAUUCUUCCUACAGAAGUAUGUAGGUGGCACUGUUAAAGAAGCCUUAGAUGGCUAUUUCUUGAUUGGGUCUGAAGAGUCAUAUGAAGCAGCAUGGAAUAUGCUCAAUGAACGUUACGGUGAGCCUUUUGUCAUUGCUAUGGCCUUUAGGGACAAGUUACACUCCUGGCCAAAACUCACUGGUAAAGAUAGUACAGAGUUAAGAAAAUUUGUGGAUUUUUUAAAAAGCUGCCAAUCUGCAAUGAUUAAUAAUGAUAAUCUGAACAUCCUCAAUGAUGGUAUUGAGAACCAAAAACUUGCUGCUAAACUGCCAGACUGGUUAAGUAACAGAUGGAAUCGAAAAGCCACAGAGUACCAGCUGGAGCGCAGACAGUUCCCACUCUUCAGUUACUUUGUAACGUUCCUGUCAAUGGAGGCAAGUAUUGCAUGUAAUCCCAUUACAUCAUACCAAGCCAUAAGACAAAUUGACUCUGACAAACCCAAGACAAAACCU